GAGUUUGAUCCUGGCUCAGAGCGAACGCUGGCGGCAGGCUUAACACAUGCAAGUCGAACGGACCCUUCGGGGUUAGUGGCGGACGGGUGAGUAACACGUGGGAACGUGCCCUUAGGUUCGGAACAACACAGGGAAACUUGUGCUAAUACCGGAUGUGCCCUUCGGGGGAAAGAUUUAUCGCCUUUGGAGCGGCCCGCGUCUGAUUAGCUAGUUGGUGAGGUAAAGGCUCACCAAGGCGACGAUCAGUAGCUGGUCUGAGAGGAUGGCCAGCCACAUUGGGACUGAGACACGGCCCAAACUCCUACGGGAGGCAGCAGUGGGGAAUCUUGCGCAAUGGGCGAAAGCCUGACGCAGCCAUGCCGCGUGGAUGAUGAAGGUCUUAGGAUUGUAAAAUCCUUUCAGCGGGACGAUAAUGACGGUACCCGCAGAAGAAGCCCCGG
Molecule: ribosomal RNA, 440 nt
Filed under: uncultured Alphaproteobacteria bacterium
Lineage: Bacteria; Pseudomonadati; Pseudomonadota; Alphaproteobacteria
Description: bacterial SSU rRNA
Rfam family: Bacterial small subunit ribosomal RNA
Source: RNAcentral